Molecule: non-coding RNA, 907 nt
Organism: Vigna umbellata (rice bean)
Lineage: Eukaryota; Viridiplantae; Streptophyta; Magnoliopsida; Fabales; Fabaceae
Source: RefSeq, a predicted model, not a curated record
UCGAAUGACAAAAAAUAACCUGGAAACAUGUGGCAGCUGGAAAAAAAAUUCACGAGAUCUAUAUGGAGUUCUGCACGAAACUUUUCUACAAUCUUUUGUGCCCUUGCCAUAAUAUGAAUACCUAAUGACCUUUUAUUCUGCUACUUACCAGAUGAAGAUGAUAUGGCAUGACUCCUCUGGAAAUUCUGGUGCGGCUAGGAUGAAGAAAAUGUCCUCAGAUUCAUUUAAUAAAUGGGCUGAGUGGAAGUAAUGACACUCAAUUUUGGUGAUUCUAUGUUCAUGUGUAUUGCAAUUAUGCCAUAGGUAGCAAAUUCAAUCACAAUGAGGUGACAUUGAAGAGGAUAGAAGUCAUGAAAAGCUAUGUCAAAAGCAUAAAGGUAAUGCAAACUAGUACAUGCUUGCCCAGUGAUGAUAUGAUGCUGAGUGCAUUUACGAUUCAAUCUUUGACUUGAGGGAAGUCUUCAUCAACAGCUCCCGAGUCAUGUAUGAGACUGCUUUCACGUGGUUUGGAUAUUUCGAUGAAAUUAAAGUGAACAGUUGAAUGUCAAGUUUCACUUGAAGUCACCAUAUAAGCUACUGGAUUGAGAUUGUUAUAAUUUAUCUCUGACUUGUUAACUAAAAUAUGGUUGAUAGACGAUCCUGUCUCUAUAAAGAAUAAAACUGUUAAUGGAUGUUGGGGAAAAUCUGUAUUUUGGGGCAUGACAGGCUCUUCUUCCUUUCUUUACUGCAUCAGAGUGCUAGCCAAUUUUCUUCCCCUAAUUAACAAUGUCUACAUGUGGCUAAGACAUGUUCGCAUGGUUGGUGUAAUAACUUGUAAGUGUUUUUUUUUAGUCGAUGUUACUUUUUGCAAACACUUACAUUGGUAUCUUAACAUUUCUGGUGUGUGAUAGUAGUGUUUUUAUUUUAA